CCUACGGGGGGCAGCAGUGGGGAAUAUUGCACAAUGGGCGCAAGCAGGAUGCAGCGACGCCGCGAGAGCGAUGAAGGCCUUCGGGUCGUAAAGCACUGUCCUAAGGGAAGAAUAAUGACGGUACCGUAGGAGGAAGCCCCGGCUAACUACGUGCCAGCAGCCGCGGUAAUACGUAGGGGGCGAGCGUUAUCCGGAAUCACUGGGCGUAAAGGGUGCGUAGGCGGCCCCGCAAGUCAGGAGUUAAAUCCCGCGGCUCAACCGAGGUCAGCUCUUGAAACGGUAGGGCUUGGGUGCAGGGGAGGCCAGCCGAAUUCCUAGUGUCGCGGUGAAAUGCGUCGAUAUUCGGAGGAACCCCAGUGGCGAAGGCGGCUCUCUGGACUGCAACUGACGCUGAGGCACGAAAGCGUGGGGAGCGAUCAUGAUUAGAUACCCUGGUAGUC
This 440-nucleotide ribosomal RNA is filed under the name uncultured bacterium. RNAcentral's name for it is "bacterial SSU rRNA". It matches the Rfam family "Bacterial small subunit ribosomal RNA", at positions 338 to 795 of the family's 1533-position model. The record is from RNAcentral.